UGCAAGUCGAACGGCAGCACGGACUUCGGUCUGGUGGCGAGUGGCGAACGGGUGAGUAAUGUAUCGGAACGUGCCUAGUAGCGGGGGAUAACUACGCGAAAGCGUAGCUAAUACCGCAUACGCCCUACGGGGGAAAGCAGGGGAUCGCAAGACCUUGCACUAUUAGAGCGGCCGAUAUCGGAUUAGCUAGUUGGUGGGGUAACGGCUCACCAAGGCGACGAUCCGUAGCUGGUUUGAGAGGACGACCAGCCACACUGGGACUGAGACACGGCCCAGACUCCUACGGGAGGCAGCAGUGGGGAAUUUUGGACAAUGGGGGAAACCCUGAUCCAGCCAUCCCGCGUGUGCGAUGAAGGCCUUCGGGUUGUAAAGCACUUUUGGCAGGAAAGAAACGUUCCGGGUUAAUACCCCGGGAAACUGACGGUACCUGCAGAAUAAGCACCGGCUAACUACGUGCCAGCAGCCGCGGUAAUACGUAGGGUGCAAGCGUUAAUCGGAAUUACUGGGCGUAAAGCGUGCGCAGGCGGUUCGGAAAGAAAGAUGUGAAAUCCCAGAGCUUAACUUUGGAACUGCAUUUUUAACUACCGAGCUAGAGUGUGUCAGAGGGAGGUGGAAUUCCGCGUGUAGCAGUGAAAUGCGUAGAUAUGCGGAGGA
Molecule: ribosomal RNA, 654 nt
Filed under: Achromobacter sp. enrichment culture clone CH2_2_2
Lineage: Bacteria; Pseudomonadati; Pseudomonadota; Betaproteobacteria; Burkholderiales; Alcaligenaceae
Description: bacterial SSU rRNA
Rfam family: Bacterial small subunit ribosomal RNA
Source: RNAcentral